GUCCAUGAGAGUUGGUUCCUUCUCUCACCAGCACCCAAGGUACAACCAAGGAAGAAGAAUGCUCAGGCACUUACCCUCUGGAGGAAGGAGAGGAGGGGAGCACCAACACUGAAAAUGCACACUGCAAGCAAACUGAACUGAACUGAAGAUGUGCCCAGGUCAGGAGGCAAAGGAAGAGACUUGCGAGGAAGGAAACCUGGAUGGGAACAGAAUGACACUGAAGUCAACAUACAAUAGCUUGGGGAAGAG
This 249-nucleotide long non-coding RNA is filed under the name Fukomys damarensis (Damara mole-rat). Its description in RNAcentral is "lncRNA (ENSFDAG00000026955.1)". Lineage: Eukaryota; Metazoa; Chordata; Mammalia; Rodentia; Bathyergidae. The record is from RNAcentral.